UUUGAUGGCGACCGGCGCACGGGUGAGUAACACGUAUCCAACCUGCCGAUGACUCGGGGGUAGCCUUUCGAAAGAAAGAUUAAUACCCGAUGGCAUAGUUCUUCCGCAUGGUAGAACUAUUAAAGAAUUUCGGUCAUCGAUGGGGAUGCGUUCCAUUAGCUUGUUGGCGGGGUAACGGCCCACCAAGGCGUCGAUGGAUAGGGGUUCUGAGAGGAAGGUCCCCCACAUUGGAACUGAGACACGGUCCAAACUCCUACGGGAGGCAGCAG
RNAcentral lists this ribosomal RNA (269 nucleotides) under uncultured bacterium. Its description in RNAcentral is "partial 16S ribosomal RNA". It matches the Rfam family "Bacterial small subunit ribosomal RNA", at positions 84 to 354 of the family's 1533-position model. The record is from RNAcentral.